This 91-nucleotide small nucleolar RNA is filed under the name Zostera marina. RNAcentral's name for it is "Small nucleolar RNA R24". It matches the Rfam family "Small nucleolar RNA R24". Rfam says of the family: snoR24 is a C/D box small nucleolar RNA which acts as a methylation guide for 18S ribosomal RNA in plants. Lineage: Eukaryota; Viridiplantae; Streptophyta; Magnoliopsida; Alismatales; Zosteraceae. The record is from Rfam by way of RNAcentral.
GCAGCUGUGAUGAAUUUGCUAUAACGCAAAAAGAGUCAUUGUGAUCAGUUGUCUCUUUAAUGAAAUAUAUUAAGCUUGGCUUCUGAGUUUU